GUGUAAAUAAAUCCUUAAAAUUAAUCUCUAUUUAGAACAUAUAAUUCUUUCAAAACACUUUGAACUGUAUUCCAAAGAUAUUAGCUACCCACCUUUCUUUAGAUAUCAGGCAGACUUUUUUUUUUUUUCCUGAAAUGUAUGUUGAAUAGAUUUAGACUGAAAUCCAAAUAAAUGCCUAGGAUUAUAUGGUCCUUCCUAAAUGUGAUAAUAUUCUUUCCCUAAACUCCAU
RNAcentral lists this long non-coding RNA (229 nucleotides) under Bos taurus (domestic cattle). RNAcentral describes it as "long non-coding RNA NONBTAT007153". The record is from RNAcentral. Lineage: Eukaryota; Metazoa; Chordata; Mammalia; Artiodactyla; Bovidae.